This 473-nucleotide ribosomal RNA is filed under the name uncultured bacterium. Its description in RNAcentral is "bacterial SSU rRNA". It matches the Rfam family "Bacterial small subunit ribosomal RNA", at positions 335 to 801 of the family's 1533-position model. The record is from RNAcentral.
ACUCCUACGGGAGGCAGCAGUAGGGAAUCUUCCACAAUGGGCGCAAGCCUGAUGGAGCAACACCGCGUGAGUGAAGAAGGGUUUCGGCUCGUAAAGCUCUGUUGUUAAAGAAGAACACGUAUGAGAGUAACUGUUCAUACGUUGACGGUAUUUAACCAGAAAGUCACGGCUAACUACGUGCCAGCAGCCGCGGUAAUACGUAGGUGGCAAGCGUUAUCCGGAUUUAUUGGGCGUAAAGAGAGUGCAGGCGGUUUUCUAAGUCUGAUGUGAAAGCCUUCGGCUUAACCGGAGAAGUGCAUCGGAAACUGGAUAACUUGAGUGCAGAAGAGGGUAGUGGAACUCCAUGUGUAGCGGUGGAAUGCGUAGAUAUAUGGAGAACACCAGUGGCGAAGGCGGCUACCUGGUCUGCAACUGACGCUGAGACUCGAAAGCAUGGGUAGCGAACAGGAUUAGAUACCCCUGGUAGGAUAGCG